Molecule: ribosomal RNA, 676 nt
Filed under: Paenibacillus sp.
Lineage: Bacteria; Bacillati; Bacillota; Bacilli; Caryophanales; Paenibacillaceae
Description: bacterial SSU rRNA
Rfam family: Bacterial small subunit ribosomal RNA
Source: RNAcentral
CUACCGGAAAGGUAGCUAAUACCCGAUACAUCCUUUUCCUGCAUGGGAGAAGGAGGAAAGGCGAGCAAUCUCACUUGUGGAUGGGCUGCGGCGCAUUAGCUAGUUGGUGGGGUAAWGGCCUAAAGGCGACGAUGCGUAGCCGACCUGAGAGGGUGAUCGGCCACACUGGGACUGACACGGCCCAGACUCCUACGGGGCAGCAGUAGGGAAUCUUCCGCAAUGGGCGAAGCCUGACGGAGCAACGCCGCGUGAGUGAUGAAGGUUUUCGGAUCGUAAAGCUCUGUUGCCAGGGAAGAACGUCUUGUAGAGUAACUGCUAYAAGAGUGACGGUACCUGAGAAGAAAGCCCCGGCUAACUACUGCCAGCAGCCCGGUAAUACGUAGGGGGCAAGCGUUGUCCGGAAUUAUUGGGCGUAAAGCGCGCGCAGGCGGCUCUUUAAGUCUGGUGUUUAAUCCCGAGGCUCAACUUCGGGUCGCACUGGAAACUGGGGAGCUGAGUGGAAUUCCACGUGUAGCGGUGAAAUGAGAGAUGUGGAGGAACACCAGUGGCGAAGACUCUCUGGGCUGUAACUGACGCUGGCGUGGGGAGCAAACAGGAUUAGAUACCCGUAGUCCACGCCGUAAAAWRAAKGSUAGGUGUUAGGGGUUUCGAUACCCUGGUGCCGAAGUUAACACAU